Molecule: ribosomal RNA, 669 nt
Filed under: Verrucomicrobiaceae bacterium
Lineage: Bacteria; Pseudomonadati; Verrucomicrobiota; Verrucomicrobiia; Verrucomicrobiales; Verrucomicrobiaceae
Description: bacterial SSU rRNA
Rfam family: Bacterial small subunit ribosomal RNA
Source: RNAcentral
UACGGUCGCAAGACUAAAACUCAAAGAAAUUGACGGGGACCCGCACAAGCGGUGGAGUAUGUGGCUUAAUUCGAUGCAACGCGAAGAACCUUACCAAGGCUUGACAUGGAUUUCUAAGCACGUGAAAGCGUGUGACCCUUCGGGGGACUUCCACAGGUGCUGCAUGGCCGUCGUCAGCUCGUGUCGUGAGAUGUUGGGUUAAGUCCCGCAACGAGCGCAACCCCUGUGAACUGUUGCCAGCACGUUAUGGUGGGGACUCUGUUCAGACUGCCCAGAUCAACUGGGAGGAAGGUGGGGACGACGUCAGGUCAGUAUGGCCCUUACGCCUUGGGCUGCACACGUACUACAAUGCCCAGCACAAUGAGAACCGAGACCGCGAGGUGGAGGAAAUCUGGAAAACUGGGCUCAGUUCAGAUUGGAGGCUGCAACUCGCCUCCAUGAAGUCGGAAUCGCUAGUAAUGCCGUAUCAUCUACGACGGCGUGAAUACGUUCCCGGGUCUUGUACACACCGCCCGUCACAUCAUGGAAGCUGGUCGCACCCGAAGCGCAUGUACCAACCCGCAAGGGGGGUAGUGCUCUAAGGUAAGGCUGGUAACUGGGAUGAAGUCGUAACAAGGUAGCCGUAGGGGAACCUGCGGCUGGAUCACCUCCUUUCUACGGAGAAAUUCG